RNAcentral lists this ribosomal RNA (440 nucleotides) under uncultured bacterium. RNAcentral's name for it is "partial 16S ribosomal RNA". It matches the Rfam family "Bacterial small subunit ribosomal RNA", at positions 338 to 795 of the family's 1533-position model. The record is from RNAcentral.
CCUACGGGAGGCUGCAGUGGGGGAUAUUGCACAAUGGGGGGAACCCUGAUGCAGCGACGCCGCGUGAGCGAAGAAGUACCUCGGUAUGUAAAGCUCUAUCAGCAGGGAAGAAAAUGACGGUACCUGACUAAGAAGCCCCGGCUAAAUACGUGCCAGCAGCCGCGGUAAUACGUAUGGGGCAAGCGUUAUCCGGAUUUACUGGGUGUAAAGGGAGCGUAGACGGCGAUGCAAGUCUGAAGUGAAAGGCGGGGGCCCAACCCCCGGACUGCUUUGGAAACUGUAUGGCUGGAGUGCAGGAGAGGUAAGUGGAAUUCCUAGUGUAGCGGUGAAAUGCGUAGAUAUUAGGAGGAACACCAGUGGCGAAAGCGGCUCUCUGGUCUGUAACUGACGCUGAGGUUCGAAAGCGUGGGUAGCAAACAGGAUUAGAUACCCGAGUAGUC